GAUGAACGCUGGCGGCGUGCUUAACACAUGCAAGUCGAACGGUGAAAGAGGAGCUUGCUCCUCUGGAUCAGUGGCGAACGGGUGAGUAACACGUGAGUAACCUGCCCUUGACUCUGGGAUAAGCGUUGGAAACGACGUCUAAUACCGGAUACGACCUUCGGAGGCAUCUCCUGGGGUGGGAAAGAAUUCGGUCAAGGAUG
This 200-nucleotide ribosomal RNA is filed under the name uncultured bacterium. Its description in RNAcentral is "partial 16S ribosomal RNA". It matches the Rfam family "Bacterial small subunit ribosomal RNA", at positions 28 to 227 of the family's 1533-position model. The record is from RNAcentral.